GAUGAACGCUAGCGGGAGGCUUAACACAUGCAAGUCGAGGGGUAUAGUAGCAAUACUAGAGACCGGCGGACGGGUGCGUAACGCGUAUGCAACUUGCCUUAUACAGGGGGAUAGCCCGUGGAAACGCGGAUUAACACCCCAUGGGACAUACAGAUCGCAUGGUUAGUAUGUUAAAUUCGAGGAGGUAUAAGAUAGGCAUGCGUCUGAUUAGCUUGUUGGUAAGGUAAUGGCUUACCAAGGCGACGAUCAGUAGGGGUUCUGAGAGGAUAAUCCCCCACACUGGUACUGAGACACGGACCAGACUCCUACGGGAGGCAG
This 318-nucleotide ribosomal RNA is filed under the name uncultured Bacteroidota bacterium. Its description in RNAcentral is "bacterial SSU rRNA". It matches the Rfam family "Bacterial small subunit ribosomal RNA", at positions 28 to 351 of the family's 1533-position model. The record is from RNAcentral. Lineage: Bacteria; Pseudomonadati; Bacteroidota.